This 254-nucleotide ribosomal RNA is filed under the name uncultured bacterium. Its description in RNAcentral is "partial 16S ribosomal RNA". It matches the Rfam family "Bacterial small subunit ribosomal RNA", at positions 524 to 776 of the family's 1533-position model. The record is from RNAcentral.
UACGUAGGUGACCAGCGUUGUCCGGAUUUACUGGGCGUAAAGAGCGCGCAGGCGGUCGUUCAAGUCGCGUGUGAAAGCCCCCGGCUCAACUGGGGAGGGUCACGCGAUACUGAUCGACUCGAAGGCAGGAGAGGGUAGUGGAAUUCCCGGUGUAGUGGUGAAAUGCGUAGAUAUCGGGAGGAACACCAGUGGCGAAGGCGACUACCUGGCCUGUUUCUUGACGCUGAGGCGCGAAAGCUAGGGGAGCAAACGGG